This 521-nucleotide ribosomal RNA is filed under the name uncultured Glomeraceae. RNAcentral's name for it is "SSU rRNA". It matches the Rfam family "Eukaryotic small subunit ribosomal RNA", at positions 569 to 1092 of the family's 1831-position model. Lineage: Eukaryota; Fungi; Glomeromycota; Glomeromycetes; Glomerales; Glomeraceae. The record is from RNAcentral.
AGCAGCCGCGGUAAUUCCAGCUCCAAUAGCGUAUAUUAAAGUUGUUGCAGUUAAAAAGCUCGUAGUUGAAUUUCGGGAUCAGUUGAUCGGUCGUGCCUCGGUACGUACUGGUCAAAUUGAUUCCUACCUUCUGACGAACCACGAUGUCAUUAAUUUGGUGUCGCGGGAAAUCAGGACUGUUACUUUGAAAAAAUUAGAGUGUUUAAAGCAGGCUCGCGCUUGAAUACAUUAGCAUGGAAUAAUGAAAUAGGACGUUUGAUUCUAUUUUGUUGGUUUCUAGGAUCGACGUAAUGAUUAAUAGGGAUAGUUGGGGGCAUUAGUAUUCAAUUGUCAGAGGUGAAAUUCUUGGAUUUAUUGAAGACUAACUACUGCGAAAGCAUUUGCCAAGGAUGUUUUCAUUAAUCAAGAACGAAAGUUAGGGGAUCGAAGACGAUCAGAUACCGUCGUAGUCUUAACCAUAAACUAUGCCGACUAGGGAUCGGAUGAUGUUAAUUUUUUAAUGACUCAUUCGGCGCCUUACG